This is a long non-coding RNA of Capsicum annuum, 3384 nucleotides long. RefSeq lists it as uncharacterized. The transcript is spliced from 3 exons. NCBI's taxonomy places the organism in Eukaryota, Viridiplantae, Streptophyta, Magnoliopsida, Solanales, Solanaceae. The record is from RefSeq and is a predicted model, not a curated record.
UCUGCACCGACUAAUUGUACUCAAAGAAACAAAAGUUGUACAUUUGAUGAGUAUUGAACAACUGUAAACGUCAUUAUAUCCAAACACGUUUAGUAUAUUUGUGUAAAUCGGUGUAAUCUUCAUCUACAUUAGAACAUUAACCUUCUUUCCCGACCAUUACCUAAAUCUUUUCACCUUCUCCUCUAUUUAUUCUCUCCGCUCUUUCUCACCUAUUGGAGCAGAUGAAUCCCAUGCUCUGCUUUUCAAUUUGUCUCGGUAUGUACUGUAUUUUUUAGUUCGGGUAAGUGUUCCUCCAUAUUUCUUUGUCUAAUGCACCAAUUUGCUGAUAAUGGGACUUUGAUGGCAUCUGUGAUUGUUAGUUCUUGGAGUUUUUGUACAAAUAUUUGUUAGCCGCAUCUUCUACUUCAAUCAGACAUCGUAAUUUAAUCAGAUUUCACAGUCGAUGGUUGGAGAUUUUGGUUAGCGUUUACAGUUUUAAAAAAGGUAAAAUACGCAUGCAAUCCAUUUACAAAUUUUGAUUCUCUGAAAUUUCUGAAAAUAUUUAUUUUGGACUAUAGUUUUCAUAUUGUAUAUAGUAUAUGCAUGCUCUGUUGGUAUAUGAUUUUCAUACCGAUGCACAUGUGGUGUUUGAUAAUAUGUCUAAAAUAAUUGAUUUCCUGGUAGUUCUUUCAAUGUCCUAGAAAAAAUUUAACUCCAAAAUUGAUGAAAACGGCCAUAUGAAAAUGGAAUAUGCACAACAACAACAACAAACCCAGUGUAUUCCCACAGCGUGGAGUCUGGGGAGGGUAAGAUGUAUGCAGUCCAUACCGCUACCUCCGAAGAAGUAGAGAGUCUGUUUCCCGAUAGACCCCAGCUCAAGAUAAGGAUAAUAAACAAGGGGGGAAAAUGGAAUAUGCAAAAAAUAUAAAAGAAAUGUGGAUCUUUUUUCAAUACAUUGUUUGAUGUGCGUCUUAUUCUGUGUCAAGUAGUUCUAUGUUUCCUAUCAAAUGUCCAUUUUAACUUUCUUCUAACCUUACUUUGUAUGUUACAAGUUGAAAUCUCUUAUUUUGAACUGUCUAAUGCUACUUGAUGCUACGAGUGUAUCUACAAGUAGUUUUCUGAGGUCUUUUCAUGAAGACAACAAGUCUCCAGCAAUUGCCAGUGUCUUUUUUUUUUUUCGUAUAUCAUUGAUCGUUAUUGUUCACUACCUAGCAUAGAAUUGACAUCAAGAUUUUUGAAAUUGGCUGCUGCACCAAUAAUACAGAACUUUUUAGGUUGUUUACUUUUCAGAUUCCAAGAAGCCCAAGGUUGGGCAAGUUUAUUUUUUAUGGUAUUUUGAUGACUAACUUUUUUGACGGUGGAGUUGAGAGGCCUAGCAAUGAUUUGUCGAUUUUAUUCGGGAUGCUCGGAGGUGCACCUUAAAUUUGCUUCAAAAUCAGAACGCCACGAAAAAGGGACUUUGAAUGAGAUCUUGGCAUGCCACACCAUCUUCCUGAGCCGAGACGUAUUGUGAUGCUUCUAAGAUUGCAAGAAAAUCUUCUAUAUAUUGAAUUAAUCCAAAUACAGAUCUGUUGAACUAGGCAAAGUGGUUGACAAAGAGUAUCAAACUGAUGUUGGAUGGAUUUGAACACUUCUCUGAGGUCUAAAAGCAAACAUGGACAAAAGCUCCUUCAAUAUAUCAGGUGUAACUUUGAAUUUUGGGAGCAACAACUAACUAAGAUGCACUUUGCACCUGGGGAAAUGCCUUUCAAAUAUUUAUGAGUGCCCGUCUUCUAGAAAGCUCAAUAUCAGUUAAUGUACCUCUACUCUGGUGAAUAGAAUUAUCGCUAGAGUAAAAUGCUAGACAUCAAAAUUCCUAUCUUAUGGUGGUAGGCUCAAUCAAAAGUGCAUUGUUUGCAAUUCAGAUGUAUUCUGCUCAAGUAUUCUUAUUGCCUAAGAAAAUAUUAUCCAUGAUUACCAAUGUUUGUAAACUUCCUGCGGACUGAGAGUAAUGGGUACUUAAGGAGAACACUGCUUGCCUGGAAACUCUAAGGCUAUGUUGCUCGGACUCUUCAAAAAUAUCAUUGGGUACAUGUCUCAGAUCCUUCAAAAGUAGUGCAUUUUUUAAGGAUCUAACACGGGUGUGGCCACAUUUUUGGAGAGUCCAAGCAACUUAGCUCUAAGGAAACCUAAGUCUACUGGUGGACUAAAUCUACUGAAUAUUAUCCUGUGGAACAAAGCUGCAAUAUGUAAGCUUCUUGGGUUGUAGCUAAGAAAAAAGAAGCACUACCGAUACUCUGUCUCAAGAUUCUAUAAGUCAUGUCAAAAUUCUAUUUUUUUCUCUCCAUAAAUUUCAAGCUUAACUUAUUGCGAAGAUACUUUGUAUAAAUGUUUGGAAUGGUUCUUGUUAUGUGGAUUCAAGUGGUCCAGUUGAAGCGAAACCUUUUCUUGGGUUGCCCUAAAUAUGGUGCAAGAGCUUUCAAUACUACGAAGCAAUAUGCAUCCACUAUUUUGCGAUGUCAUCAGCACCAUGUCUGCUCAUAUUUUGGACUUCAGAAAUAGUUUACAGGAGAAUCUGAAUGUAUUAAAAAGCGAUAAAAGAGCCUUUACAUUCGAUUUUGCGCUUUGUAAUUAAUUAACAGUUUGAAUCUGUCUUUGAUUUUCAUUUCAUACUUUCUUUCUGGUGCCACUACUUCUGCAAUCUGCAGGCAAAAGCUAGUGAUGGAGAUGGUCCAGAGCUUUUGAAGAGUUCACAUAAUGGUGGUACUGGUGGUCAUGCGGAGUCCUUAGCCGCAAUUCUUGCCGAACAUAAGCACCACCUUGCAAGUAUACAGGUCCGAUGUUCAGUCUAAUUUGGUAAAAGGAACAAUAUGCCUACGAAGAAGAUGAAUGAAGCAGCAGGAGGUGGAGGAAGAGGACUCAAGGCUAAGGCCAAAUUGGAGCAUGUGUUAUAUAGCGGCGAAAAGAAGCACGUCUUAGGUGGCAUCGCUGUCAUUGGCGUUCUCUUCGGUGUUCCCUGGUACUUCAUGACCUGAGACUGUUUUCUCAAAUCAAAUGAUCAAGAAGUUGCCAUAUUUUGCUCAAAAGUUGAUGGAGAAUUGUGGUUCCUCAAUCCAAAAGUUUCACUUCAAAUAAGGAGAUUUCCAAGAGCAAGUACUACAGCUCAGAUGCCAUGGGAACUCCAUAAGUUGUUUUUUUUCCCAGAGAGUUCAAAUAGUAGUAUUCUUCUUUGCCUUUCCCUUUAGCUGAUAAAUUUUAGUAAUUGAAAUUAAUUAGAAAAUUAGCUUAACAAUUUUUAUCAAUAUUAACUGCAAAUAUGCAUAUUUAUGUUAAUGUAUCUUCAUUAUGUUAUCUUUUAUAUUUUUACCUUGUUACUUUUUGUAACAUACAUUUGUAAAGAGGUAUGUAAGCAUUAUAUUUGUUUCU